UACGGAGGGUGCAAGCGUUAUCCGGAUUCACUGGGUUUAAAGGGUGCGUAGGCGGGCAGGUAAGUCCGUGGUGAAAUCUCUGAGCUUAACUCAGAAACUGCCAUGGAUACUAUUUGUCUUGAAUAUUGUGGAGGUAAGCGGAAUAUGUCAUGUAGCGGUGAAAUGCUUAGAUAUGACAUAGAACACCAAUCGCGAAGGCAGCUUACUACACAGUUAUUGACGCUGAGGCACGAAAGCGUGGGGAUCAAACAGG
This 253-nucleotide ribosomal RNA is filed under the name uncultured bacterium. RNAcentral's name for it is "partial 16S ribosomal RNA". It matches the Rfam family "Bacterial small subunit ribosomal RNA", at positions 524 to 776 of the family's 1533-position model. The record is from RNAcentral.